UUCUGCUAGAUGUGAAUAAGACAGUGAGUAAUCCUGGUUGCUACAACCAGCCUCCUUGUUACCACAAGGAAAACCGACUUACAGAUGACGCUGAUGCUAUGGGUCAUGGAGCAGAGGUGAAAAGAACCUUUUUUCUUGAUAACAUCAUUUAGCUGCUGAAUCAACCAACCCUGAAGACCACCCUACAUCUGAAUCUCCUUUAAUGAGGAUGCUGUGACCCCUCAAUGGAUAUGCUAAUCAUCACAUCAGAAGCACAACUAGCUUCAAAUGGAAACCAGAUUGCACUUGGUCACUGACGAAGCAGGAGAUUAAACAAGCUACACUGUGUCUCUGGGAGAACAAAAAGCCAAAAGGCACAUUUAUCACCUCUGAAUCACAACACUGAGGAGACGAAGACAAGCCAAGAUCAUCCUAUGCCUGGAAGAGAUCUCAGUUGUAUGGAAAUAAUCAGCCAAUAUGACCACCCACUUCUGGAAGAGCAUCUCUAAGACAGAGGGGGUACUGUGUCUCUUCACUUUCCAUACAUAGUUCUCAAUGUGUAUUUUUUUAAUUGAUUACUUUUUCCCCUUGAAGGAUUUCCUAAAAUCUAUUUAAUUUUACCUGACCUAUGUCCCAGAAAUUGUCUUUUUUCCUACUGUAAUUGCCAUUUAAAGUAAUAAAAAAUACUUGGGGAAAAAAGUUCAUCUUUCUAUAGCUUUAUAAAUAUGGAGCAAAUAUAUCUGUUCAUUUGAUGAAUGUCCAUUUAAACCA
Molecule: long non-coding RNA, 750 nt
Filed under: Homo sapiens (human)
Lineage: Eukaryota; Metazoa; Chordata; Mammalia; Primates; Hominidae
Description: HSALNT0297214
Source: RNAcentral